CUACGGGGCGCUCCAGUGAGGAAUAUUGCACAAUGGGGGGAACCCUGAUGCAGCAACGCCGCGUGGAGGAUGACGCAUUUCGGUGUGUAAACUCCUUUUAUAUGUCAAGAAAAUGACGGUAGCAUAUGAAUAAGCACCGGCUAACUCCGUGCCAGCAGCCGCGGUAAUACGGAGGGUGCAAGCGUUACUCGGAAUCACUGGGCGUAAAGGACGCGUAGGCGGGUUGGAAAGUCAGGUGUGAAGUCCUACAGCUUAACUGUAGAACUGCACUUGAAACUUCUAAUCUAGAGUAUGGGAGGGGGAGAUGGAAUUAGUGGUGUAGGGGUAAAAUCCGUAGAUAUCACUAGGAAUACCUAAAGCGAAGGCGAUCUCCUGGAACAUUACUGACGCUAAGGCGUGAAAGCGUGGGGAGCAAACAGGAUUAGAUACCCCCGUAGUC
Molecule: ribosomal RNA, 439 nt
Filed under: uncultured bacterium
Lineage: Bacteria
Description: partial 16S ribosomal RNA
Rfam family: Bacterial small subunit ribosomal RNA
Source: RNAcentral